UACGUAGGGUGCGAGCGUUAGUCGGAAUUACUGGGCGUAAAGCGUGCGCAGGCGGUUCGUUAAGUCAGAUGUGAAAGCCCCGGGCUCAACCUGGGAACUGCAUUUGAAACUGGCGGGCUUGAGUAUGGCAGAGGGGGGUGGAAUUCCGCGUGUAGCAGUGAAAUGCGUAGAGAUGCGGAGGAACACCGAUGGCGAAGGCAGCCCCCUGGGCCAAUACUGACGCUCAGGCACGAAAGCGUGGGGAGCAAACAGG
Molecule: ribosomal RNA, 253 nt
Filed under: uncultured bacterium
Lineage: Bacteria
Description: partial 16S ribosomal RNA
Rfam family: Bacterial small subunit ribosomal RNA
Source: RNAcentral